RNAcentral lists this unclassified non-coding RNA (22 nucleotides) under Mus musculus (house mouse). RNAcentral describes it as "oocyte_clustered_small_RNA10582". Lineage: Eukaryota; Metazoa; Chordata; Mammalia; Rodentia; Muridae. The record is from RNAcentral.
AUGACCAUCCCUACCUUUUCCA